CUGUUUAACUGUGUGCCUCUCUCCAUCCUUUAAUGACCCCUGAUGCCCACAUGUCUCAUGAGUGAAGAUGUCCCCACCCCAGAUGCCCCUUCCCAAGGUGUGCUUUCAGGACUCAGCUCCUAGACAGGGACAGUCAGCCAUUAGGGAUAGGGUGGGACCAGGGCAGGGGCUCUCCUGACUCCUGAUACCUGUUCGCCUGCCCCCCAGCGUUACUGCCACCUGCUAUAGGUGACUGAGAAGUGGGCCUAGGGCACCUUCAGACUCAACCCCAAUGAUGAGGACAUCCACACAGCCAGCGAGCACCACCUGAAGGUAAGAUCCCUGCAGCCCCACUGCUUUCCUGGCCUCCCGUCUUCACCUGGCCCUGGGCCACUUGGAGCAUUAGCACCAUUGUUCCAUUUACUUCACCAUUGGCAGACAGCAGUGACGAUCUCAGGACAUGGCCAGUUGCAGUGGCUCAUGCCUAUAAUCCUAGCACUUUGGGAGGCUCUGGUGGAAGGAUCACUUGAGGCCAAGAGUUUGCAUGGGCAACAUAACAAGGUUUCAUAACUACAAAAAAUUGAAAGAAAAAAAUGAACAACAGGGCUAAGCAGAAUUGGUGAGAGAUUUGGGCAAGACCUGGGGCCCUUGGGUAGGGAGGGAGGUUGGCAGGGCUGAUGAAAGCUGCCCUGCCUGGAUUGACUCCUCUGGGCAUCUAGACUGUGACCCUGGGCCUCCCUUCACUUCCAAGAGCUCAUUAGCAAAACUGCUGGGAAGCUGCACACGGGAUGCAGCUGGAAUGACCAGGUGCCUCUAGCCCCUCCAACCCCCUGCUUUUUGCUGUCCCAAUGUUGGGGAGCCCAGGGGGCAGUUAGAGCUCAGCAGGGUCCUGGCUCCCCAGGGAAGCAGCUCAUCAGCCUCCCUGAGCAUCACCUCCUGCUUGCACAGGUGGUCAUGGAGCUUAGACUAUGGAUGUGGCAGACCUGCUCGAUGCUCUCCGGCCUCUUGUGGGAGCCCAUCAGGACCAUGGUGGAUCCCACAGAGGGAACAUGACAUCCUCUUCCUAGGUUACACCCACCUGCAGAGGGCCCAGCCCCAUCACUGGAGCCACUGGAUUCUGAGGUGAGCUGGGUGAGUUGCUGGGGCUGUACUGGAUGGGAGGACCCUGGCUGUCCUGACCCUCCUGCCCCUGGCUUUCCACAAUGGUGCCAUGGUGCUGACCCUAGACUCUGAGCAGCUGCUGGAGGUUCGGAAGCUGAUUGGUGUCCUGCCCCUGGGGAGGUGGGUGA
Molecule: long non-coding RNA, 1268 nt
Filed under: Callithrix jacchus (white-tufted-ear marmoset)
Lineage: Eukaryota; Metazoa; Chordata; Mammalia; Primates; Cebidae
Description: lncRNA (ENSCJAG00000080529.1)
Source: RNAcentral